This is a non-coding RNA of Tephrocybe rancida, 107 nucleotides long. The record is from the annotation of a GenBank genome assembly. Lineage: Eukaryota; Fungi; Basidiomycota; Agaricomycetes; Agaricales; Lyophyllaceae.
GCAUUGAUAGUGUAGCGGUUAUCAUCGAGUCUUCCCAUGUAGCGUGCAGUAUUUCUGCAAGCAUACGGGAUCUGGCUUGGACCCGGGUUCGACUCCCGGUCAAUGCA